This 343-nucleotide ribosomal RNA is filed under the name uncultured Agaricales. Its description in RNAcentral is "eukaryotic LSU rRNA". The stretch from base 288 to 343 matches the Rfam family "Eukaryotic large subunit ribosomal RNA", at positions 1 to 56 of the family's 3401-position model. The record is from RNAcentral. Lineage: Eukaryota; Fungi; Basidiomycota; Agaricomycetes; Agaricales.
AGUACGCUAUGUGAAUCAUCGAAUCUUUGAACGCAACACGCACUUUGGACGUAAAAAAUCCAAAGUAUAUCUGUUUGAGUGUCACAAACAAUACUAAUCAACAUGAAGAAAAACCAAGUAAUUGAGUUUUUCAUACGUUGAAUCUUGGGAGUUUUAGUAAAUCUAAAUCUCCAUAAAAUACAUAGAGAAAUAUAUCAUAUACUCUAAGUGAGCAACUGUUAAUACAUUUCUCUCUUAUAGUUAAAUUGAUUGUUAUUUCUCUGAACAAGACAUUCUCUUUUUUAUUAUGACAUCAAAUCAGGUAAGGCUACCCGCUGAAUUUAAGCAUAUCAAUAAGCGGAGG